CUUGUACUCCGUUCCAGUUGUUCUGAUUUGUUUGGAAUCAUUGGUGAUGAUAUGGUACGUUUCGCUGUCCUAAAAGAACUAUUGAACGAGUAUUAUUGUUAAUAAACUCACUGAUAAAUUAAUCAUUAAUAAAUAAUUCGUGUUUUAUGUUUGGUGUAUGGUGUGGCGGUGGUAUUAUAUAAAUAUGAGUAGCUUAUAUUUGUCAACGGUGUUUUAAAAGCCAGGGAGAUAUCAAAAUAUUAAGCGCAAGCCAGAGUAAACGAAGAAGAUACUGACAAAAUAUCCGAGGCGUCAAAUACCCAUCGGGCAAUCGCAUUCACAUCUAGGAGUAUGAGACAGUCAGGAGCCUACGGCAUGGAGACUUUUUUUUUAAAGUGACUCGUCUCUCCCCUCUACCACUGGCUUAUUUUUCAAUAUUUUUUUAUGAAAAUUUAGCAGAAUAUUCUUGAAAUGAUGCUUAAUAAUGUCACUAAUUUUAAGGGGGAUAGCUACUGUGAAAUUUCAAAAAACAAAAAUUUUUUUUUUUUAUUAAAUCAAAGUUUAUAUGUUCAAAAAUAUGUAUCUAGAGUUUUAAAUGAAAAUUCCGAAUAUUUUUAAAGUUAUAGUCAUUUUUUUGACAGCACAUCAACUGACCGUUGCAUCGACUAAAAACUUUAAACGCGUUUUUCUCGAAACUACUUUUUUUGAACUGGUGGCAUCUGUAAUUUUCAUAAAUAUCAACCGAUUCGCAACUUUUUUUUUUUCGUAUUCGUCUAUUCAGUAGCUAAAGUUGCGCGUAGGGGAUUUUGAAAAUUUUGAUUUUUAAGAUUUUUUAGGGCUGUUUGAAUCCAAAAAAAUGAGAAAAAAUUUUUAAUAUGUCGCCAUUUUUUUUCAAAUCGAAAUUUUCAAAAUCCCCUACGUGGAACGAUAAUCACAUGCAUACAGAUUACAACGCCGUUUGGUUUUUUUGUUUCUGAUAAUCCGUUUUUGAGUUAGAGAUGACACCGUGGUGGGGGAAAUUUUUUUGGUGCUCCACAAAAAUGCUCAUAACUUUGUAACAACAUGAUAUUUUUCAAUAAAAAUUUAGGAGAAUUAUCUUCAAUGUAUACUUUAUAAAACAAAAAAAAACCGAUCCCCAUAUUCUUUUAUUAUUCCAGUCAAAAAAAUUCCCGAAAAUCACCUAUUUUUUCGAUCCUCACAGUGGCUAUCCCCCUUAAGAAGUUUAAUUACGAAGGUACUCUGAAAAAAAAAAUCACAAAAAAAUCCUUUUUUUUUUUUUGUAUCUCAGACCCUUUCCUCCUUUUACUGUAAUUUGUAUUACUGUGGAAUAAAUUAUUGGU
This is a long non-coding RNA of Microplitis mediator, 1319 nucleotides long. RefSeq lists it as uncharacterized. The record is from RefSeq and is a predicted model, not a curated record. The transcript has 3 exons. NCBI's taxonomy places the organism in Eukaryota, Metazoa, Arthropoda, Insecta, Hymenoptera, Braconidae.